RNAcentral lists this unclassified non-coding RNA (346 nucleotides) under soil metagenome. Its description in RNAcentral is "partial contains 5.8S ribosomal RNA, internal transcribed spacer 2, and large subunit ribosomal RNA". The stretch from base 1 to 119 matches the Rfam family "5.8S ribosomal RNA", at positions 35 to 154 of the family's 154-position model. The record is from RNAcentral.
GAUGAAGAACGCAGCGAAAUGCGAUACGUAAUGUGAAUUGCAAAUUCAGUGAAUCAUCGAGUCUUUGAACGCACAUUGCGCCCCCUGGUAUUCCGGGGGGCAUGCCUGUCCGAGCGUCAUUGCUGCCCUCAAGCACGGCUUGUGUGUUGGGCCCCGUCCUCCGAUCCCGGGGGACGGGCCCGAAAGGCAGCGGCGGCACCGCGUCCGGUCCUCGAGCGUAUGGGGCUUUGUCACCCGCUCUGUAGGCCCGGCCGGCGCUUGCCGAUCAACCCAAAUUUUUUAUCCAGGUUGACCUCGGAUCAGGUAGGGAUACCCGCUGAACUUAAGCAUAUCAAUAAGCGCAGGA